RNAcentral lists this microRNA precursor (80 nucleotides) under Eptesicus fuscus (big brown bat). RNAcentral describes it as "microRNA efu-mir-9246c precursor". The record is from miRBase by way of RNAcentral. Lineage: Eukaryota; Metazoa; Chordata; Mammalia; Chiroptera; Vespertilionidae.
AGCCCAUGGCUCCCCUGGUUGCAAGCCUCGUGGGUUUUAGGGUUUAGGAGAUGUACGCCUUUGGGGGAAAUAGGGGAAUG